RNAcentral lists this ribosomal RNA (1092 nucleotides) under uncultured Burkholderia sp. RNAcentral's name for it is "bacterial SSU rRNA". It matches the Rfam family "Bacterial small subunit ribosomal RNA", at positions 132 to 1199 of the family's 1533-position model. The record is from RNAcentral. Lineage: Bacteria; Pseudomonadati; Pseudomonadota; Betaproteobacteria; Burkholderiales; Burkholderiaceae.
UGUAGUGGGGGAUAGCCCGGCGAAAGCCGGAUUAAUACCGCAUACGAUCUACGGAUGAAAGCGGGGGACCUUCGGGCCUCGCGCUAUAGGGUUGGCCGAUGGCUGAUUAGCUAGUUGGUGGGGUAAAGGCCUACCAAGGCGACGAUCAGUAGCUGGUCUGAGAGGACGACCAGCCACACUGGGACUGAGACACGGCCCAGACUCCUACGGGAGGCAGCAGUGGGGAAUUUUGGACAAUGGGCGAAAGCCUGAUCCAGCAAUGCCGCGUGUGUGAAGAAGGCCUUCGGGUUGCAAAGCACUUUUGUCCGGAAAGAAAUCCUUGGCUCUAAUACAGUCGGGGGAUGACGGUACCGGAAGAAUAAGCACCGGCUAACUACGUGCCAGCAGCCGCGGUAAUACGUAGGGUGCGAGCGUUAAUCGGAAUUACUGGGCGUAAAGCGUGCGCAGGCGGUUUGCUAAGACCGAUGUGAAAUCCCCGGGCUCAACCUGGGAACUGCAUUGGUGACUGGCAGGCUAGAGUAUGGCAGAGGGGGGUAGAAUUCCACGUGUAGCAGUGAAAUGCGUAGAGAUGUGGAGGAAUACCGAUGGCGAAGGCAGCCCCCUGGGCCAAUACUGACGCUCAUGCACGAAAGCGUGGGGAGCAAACAGGAUUAGAUACCCUGGUAGUCCACGCCCUAAACGAUGUCAACUAGUUGUUGGGGAUUCAUUUCCUUAGUAACGUAGCUAACGCGUGAAGUUGACCGCCUGGGGAGUACGGUCGCAAGAUUAAAACUCAAAGGAAUUGACCGGGGACCCGCACAAGCGGUGGAUGAUGUGGGAUUAAUUCGAUGCAACGCGGAAAAACCUUACCUACCCCUUGACAUGGUCGGGAAUCCUUGCUGAAAAGUGGGUAGUGCUCCUAAAGAGAAACCGGCCCCACAGGUGCCUGCAUGGCCUUCGUCCACUUCUGUUCCUGGAAAUGUUGGGGUUAAAGUCCCCCCAACGAGCCGCAACCCUUUGUUCUUAGUUUGCCUACCCCAAGAAGCAAUCUAAAGGUGAACUGGCCGGUUGACCAAACCCGGAAGGAAAGGGGGGGGGAUGGACGUCCAAGUC